Long non-coding RNA from Magallana angulata, 705 nucleotides. RefSeq lists it as uncharacterized. The transcript is spliced from 2 exons. The record is from RefSeq and is a predicted model, not a curated record. NCBI's taxonomy places the organism in Eukaryota, Metazoa, Mollusca, Bivalvia, Ostreida, Ostreidae.
CCUACCAAUGAUCAACCAAAUCACAUUCAAGGAGGGUGUUCCUAUGAUGUUGGUAUAUUAACCAUCCUCUAAUGAGACUAUUUUCAUUUGCCAAUUAAACCCCACCUGACGUCACUAAGAAGCCGUUUAUCAUAUUGCAAGCAUAAGUGACAUAUAAGACCAUCUGUCACGCAAGAACUACAGGCAAGAAAACAAUUGUAAUCUAUUUAAACGAUCAUUCCACAGUUACCUGUUUAAAUUUCAGUAGAAUUAGAGGAGAGAGAAAGUACAACAUUCAAGGAUGAAUUCUACGUACGUGGUAUUAGCCGUUGUAUGUCUUGCUUCGUUGCUGCUAGGAACAUGGUCUUCUCCAGCUUCCAAGCGCGUCUCUCAAACCUUUACCGACCAGUGGUGCCAGGACAAAUUUGGAGAGUAUGUAAUAACGUGUCCGCAGGCAUCCAACCAGUGCUGUCAUUUACUUGAACCAUACCACUUCACUCUCACCGGAAAUUUGUGUCAAGAUAUGAAUGAUACUGAAUGCAGGACCAAUAUGUUUACAACAUGCUGUAAGGACGGCAAAGAGAUGGCGGCCCGCUACGAUGAAAAUUCAAUGCAAAACAGUCUUUUCAUGUGAGAAUAUGUGGUUUUUUUAUGCUGUUUCAUGAACAUUACUUAUUUAUUAUUUCUCGUUGAUCAUAUAAAUUCUACAAAACUUUCUCAAAUAUA